CGCGUAGGCGGGGAUACAAGUCGGGUGUGAAAUCUAUGGGCUUAACCCAUAAACUGCACUUGAAACUGUAUCUCUUGAGUGUCGGAGAGGUAGACGGAAUUCCUAGUGUAGCGGUGAAAUGCGUAGAUAUUAGGAGGAACACCAGUGGCGAAGGCGGUCUACUGGACGAUAACUGACGCUGAGGCGCGAAAGCGUGGGGAGCAAACA
This 207-nucleotide ribosomal RNA is filed under the name uncultured bacterium. RNAcentral describes it as "partial 16S ribosomal RNA". It matches the Rfam family "Bacterial small subunit ribosomal RNA", at positions 568 to 774 of the family's 1533-position model. The record is from RNAcentral.